ACACGCAGUCGAGCGGUAGGACCCUUUCGGGGGUUUGAGAGCGGCGUACGGGUGAGUAACGCGUACACAAUCUACCUUCAAGCGGGGAAUAGCCCUGGGAAACUGGGAUUAAUGCCCCAUAGGAUUACUGGAAGGCAUCUUUUGGUAAUUAAAGCUCCGGUGUUUGAAGAUGAGUGUGCGUCUGAUUAGCUAGUUGGUAGGGUAACGGCCUACCAAGGCUACGAUCAGUAGGGGGCGUGAGAGCGUGGACCCCCACACGGGUACUGAGACACGGACCCGACUCCUACGGGAGGCAGCAGUAAGGAAUAUUGGUCAAUGGAGGAAACUCUGAACCAGCCAUCCCGCGUGCAGGAAGACGGCCCUCUGGGUUGUAAACUGCUUUUAUCUGGGAAGAAAAGCCGACAUUCAUGUUGGUCUGACGGUACCAGAGGAAUAAGCACCGGCUAACUCCGUGCCAGCAGCCGCGGUAAUACGGAGGGUGCAAGCGUUAUCCGGAAUUACUGGGUUUAAAGGGUGCGUAGGCGGCGCUGUAAGUCAGAGGUGAAAGGUUCCGGCUCAACCGGAGAAUUGCCUUUGAUACUGUGGUGCUAGGAUAAGGUUGAGGUUGGCGGAAUGUGACAUGUAGCGGUGAAAUGCAUAGAUAUGUCAUAGAACACCGAUUGCGAACGCAGCUAACUGGACCUUUAUUGACGCUGAGGCACGAAAGCGUGGGGAGCAAACAGGAUUAGAUA
This 731-nucleotide ribosomal RNA is filed under the name uncultured bacterium. Its description in RNAcentral is "bacterial SSU rRNA". It matches the Rfam family "Bacterial small subunit ribosomal RNA", at positions 53 to 784 of the family's 1533-position model. The record is from RNAcentral.